Molecule: ribosomal RNA, 300 nt
Filed under: Triticum aestivum (bread wheat)
Lineage: Eukaryota; Viridiplantae; Streptophyta; Magnoliopsida; Poales; Poaceae
Description: partial small subunit ribosomal RNA
Source: RNAcentral
UUGGAGAAACACAAAGUCCCAGCAAAGUACAUUACCCUCAUCAAGGACAUGUACAACAAUGUUGUGACAAGUGUUCGAACAAGUGAUGUCGACACCGAUGACUUCCCGAUUAAGAUAGGACUGCAUCAGGGGUCAGCUUUGAGCCCUUAUCUUUUUGCAUUGGUGAUGGAUGAGGUCACAAGGGGUAUACAAGGAGAUAUCCCAUGGUGUAUGCUCUUUGCGAAUGAUGUGGUGCUAGUUGACGAUAGUCGGACGGGGGUAAAUAGGAAGUUAGAGUUAUGGAGACAAACCUUGGAAUAG